GACGAACGCUGGCGGCGUGCCUAAUACAUGCAAGUAGAACGCUGAAGAGAGGAGCUUGCUCUUCUUGGAUGAGUUGCGAACGGGUGAGUAACGCGUAGGUAACCUGCCUUGUAGCGGGGGAUAACUAUUGGAAACGAUAGCUAAUACCGCAUAACAAUGGAUGACACAUGUCAUUUAUUUGAAAGGGGCAAUUGCUCCACUACAAGAUGGACCUGCGUUGUAUUAGCUAGUAGGUGAGGUAAUGGCUCACCUAGGCGACGAUACAUAGCCGACCUGAGAGGGUGAUCGGCCACACUGGGACUGAGACACGGCCCAGACUCCUACGGGAGGCAGCAGUAGGGAAUCUUCGGCAAUGGGGGCAACCCUGACCGAGCAACGCCGCGUGAGUGAAGAAGGUUUUCGGAUCGUAAAGCUCUGUUGUAAGUCAAAAACGGGUGUGAGAGUGGAAAGUUCACACUGUGACGGUAGCUUACCAGAAAGGGACGGCUAACUACGUGCCAGCAGCCGCGGUAAUACGUAGGUCCCGAGCGUUGUCCGGAUUUAUUGGGCGUAAAGCGAGCGCAGGCGGUUUGAUAAGUCUGAAGUUAAAGGCUGUGGCUCAACCAUAGUUCGCUUUGGAAACUGUCAAGCUUGAGUGCAGAAGGGGAGAGUGGAAUUCCAUGUGUAGCGGUGAAAUGCGUAGAUAUAUGGAGGAACACCGGUGGCGAAAGCGGCUCUCUGGUCUGUAACUGACGCUGAGGCUCGAAAGCGUGGGGAGCGAACAGGAUUAGAUACCCUGGUAGUCCACGCCGUAAACGAUGAGUGCUAGGUGUUGGAUCCUUUCCGGGAUUCAGUGCCGCAGCUAACGCAUUAAGCACUCCGCCUGGGGAGUACGACCGCAAGGUUGAAACUCAAAGGAAUUGACGGGGGCCCGCACAAGCGGUGGAGCAUGUGGUUUAAUUCGAAGCAACGCGAAGAACCUUACCAGGUCUUGACAUCCCGAUGCUAUUUCUAGAGAUAGAAAGUUACUUCGGUACAUCGGUGACAGGUGGUGCAUGGUUGUCGUCAGCUCGUGUCGUGAGAUGUUGGGUUAAGUCCCGCAACGAGCGCAACCCCUAUUGUUAGUUGCCAUCAUUCAGUUGGGCACUCUAGCGAGACUGCCGGUAAUAAACCGGAGGAAGGUGGGGAUGACGUCAAAUCAUCAUGCCCCUUAUGACCUGGGCUACACACGUGCUACAAUGGUUGGUACAACGAGUUGCGAGUCGGUGACGGCGAGCUAAUCUCUUAAAGCCAAUCUCAGUUCGGAUUGUAGGCUGCAACUCGCCUACAUGAAGUCGGAAUCGCUAGUAAUCGCGGAUCAGCACGCCGCGGUGAAUACGUUCCCGGGCCU
This 1369-nucleotide ribosomal RNA is filed under the name uncultured bacterium. RNAcentral's name for it is "bacterial SSU rRNA". It matches the Rfam family "Bacterial small subunit ribosomal RNA", at positions 28 to 1381 of the family's 1533-position model. The record is from RNAcentral.